GACGUAGGGGGCGAGCGUUGUCCGGAUUCAUUGGGCGUAAAGAGCACGCAGGCGGUUUGGCAAGUCGGGUGUGAAAACCCGAAGCUCAACUUCGGGCCUGCAUCCGAAACUGCCCGACUAGAGGUAGGUAGGGGAGAUCGGAAUUCCUGGUGUAGCGGUGAAAUGCGCAGAUAUCAGGAGGAACACCGGUGGCGAAGGCGGAUCUCUGGGCCUUACCUGACGCUCAGGUGCGAAAGCUAGGGGAGCGAACAGG
Molecule: ribosomal RNA, 253 nt
Filed under: uncultured bacterium
Lineage: Bacteria
Description: partial 16S ribosomal RNA
Rfam family: Bacterial small subunit ribosomal RNA
Source: RNAcentral